Non-coding RNA from Chrysemys picta bellii (western painted turtle), 516 nucleotides. The record is from the annotation of a RefSeq genome assembly. NCBI's taxonomy places the organism in Eukaryota, Metazoa, Chordata, Testudines, Emydidae.
AUGAAAUCUCUGCUGCUUUUCCUGUCCCUGUUCUCUGCCCCCUCCUGUGUCCUGUCCCAGGUGCAGCUGGUCCAGACCGGCCCGGGAGCGGUGAAGCCGGGAGCGACCCUCAGUAUCACCUGUAAAGUCUCUGGAGUCUCCGUCAGUGACCACUACUGGAGCUGGAACCGGCAGCCCCCUGGGAAAGGGCUGGAGGGGAUGUGGUUUAUCCGGGAUACAGCUAACGGGGGGACCACAGAGUAUAACUCGGCUCUCAAACCUCGUGUCACCAUCACCAGGGACACCUCGAAAAACGAAGUUUAUCUCCAGCUCGGCUCACUGACAGCUGCAGACACCGGCACCUAUUACUGUGCCAGAUAUACACCCGGGAAGGGGCUGGAGUGGCUGGCCAGGUACUAUGAUCCCUCCAUCCACACUUACGCCUCCUCCAUGCAGGGGAGAUCUACAGCCUUCGAGGACAGCACCACUUUCUGCUUGCGCAUGAACAGCCCGAAAGCCGAGGACACCGCGGUGUAG